ACUGUCGCUUAAACACUUUGGACCACCUCUUCUGAACUGAAGGAAAAAAUGAUGUUAGUUCUCUGCGCGAAUACAAAGAAACACCUGGAAGCCUUGGCAAGGGGAUGAGAUUUGGCAGAGAUCUUUCCGUGUACCGAUGCAUCCUCAGGAAAAUGAUGUGCCGCUCAUUGUUCCUGUUGUCAAGGUUAUCGCAGUCGACUUCAGGCUGGAACGGGCAUUGCUCUUGCACUGAAGAAAGUCUGUCCUGACUCCCUCAGAGUGCCUCAACAUCAACCAAGAGCCACCGUGAACCUCUGGGGCACUGAGCCUGGCCACCAGCACCCCCACCCCAGCCCAUAUGGCCUGGGCCUCUCCCUUGAUGUUUAAAGGAGAUGAUAAAAAUGCUGCAACCCAGAUAAUGAUCACCUUACUCUUCAAAAAUACUGCCCAAGUUCUUUGUUCAAGAUGCCAAGAACCUGGAUACCCUCCACUGGUAACAAAUAUGACUUUGUUUUUAGCAAGCAACUUUGCAGUGUAAUUAAGUUAAGGAUCUUGAGAUGAGAUCAUCUUGGAAUAUCUGGGUGGGCCCUAAAUCCAAUGACAAGUGUCCUCAUAGGAAGGGAAGAUACACACAGAGGAGAAGGUGGUGUGAAGAUGGAAGCCAAGACUGUUGAUACCAGUUGGAGAGC
RNAcentral lists this long non-coding RNA (668 nucleotides) under Homo sapiens (human). Its description in RNAcentral is "HSALNT0292719". The record is from RNAcentral. Lineage: Eukaryota; Metazoa; Chordata; Mammalia; Primates; Hominidae.